This 855-nucleotide long non-coding RNA is filed under the name Mytilus galloprovincialis (Mediterranean mussel). The record is from RNAcentral. Lineage: Eukaryota; Metazoa; Mollusca; Bivalvia; Mytilida; Mytilidae.
GUCUUGACAUAAACCAUAUGGCUUUUGGUUACUACCUUAUUUUUUUUUAUCUUUGCUUAAUCCUGUUGCCUCUUGGUGGAGCAUAGGCCACUCACGAUAUUUCUCCACCUUGUUCUGUUCUUUACUAGCCUCUCCAGAUCGUGCCACUUGUACCCUUCUUUCUCCAUCUCGACUGCAACAUUCCUUCUCCAGGUGUAUCUUGGUCUGCCCCUGCUACGCUUUCCUUGUGGGUUCCACUGUAAGGCUUGCCUUGUAAUGUUAGUUUUUGUCUUCCUCAGUGUGUGUCCUAUCCAUCGCCAUUUUCUCUUUUUAUGCCCCACCUACGAUAGUAGAGGGGCAUUAUGUUUUCUGGUCUGUGCCUCAGUUCGUCCGUCCGCUUCAGGUUAAAGUUUUUGGUCAAGGUAGUUUUUGAAGAAGUUGAAGUCCAAUCAACUUGAAACUUAGUACACUUGUUCCCCAUGAUAUGAUCUUUCUAAUUUUAAUGCCAAAUUAUAGUUUUGACCCCAAUUUCAUGGUCCACUGAACAUAGAAAAUGAUAGUGCGAAGUUCAGGUUCAAGUUUUUGGUCAAGGUAGUUUUUGAUGAAGUUAAAGUUACAUCAACUUGAAACUUAGUACACAUGUUCCCUAUGAUAUGAUCUUUCUAAUUUUAAUUUCAAAUUAAAGUUUUGACCCCAAUUUCACGGUCCACUGAACAUAGAAAAUGAUAGUGCGAGUGGGGCAUUCGUGUACUAUGCACACAUUCUUGUUUAACUCUUCAUCAACUGGGGAUUGGUUGGUUUUUUCCCAAAGAUCUUUGUUUGAUAUCUUCUCAAACUGAUUCUACAGGAUUCUAUAUCUUAUGUUUCAUUUUUUUU